ACUUCAGAAAACAUAUCUUGGUUAAAACCAACUUGGUUAAAAAUUAGUAUAUACUAAACACAGUAGUGUGAGUAUAUACAUUAUUUCACUGUCAUGUAAGCUACCUUAUUCAGCCUAAUUUGGACCCUUUUAAAUCAUAUCUACUGGGGUCCUGGACCCCGGAUACAGUGCAGUUGAACUUGCUACAGCAUGAUUAAGACCAAAAUAUACUGCAAAACGAGGUCCAUCUGCAGGUGUGAUAAAAACCUCAAUGAGAAAGUCAGCUGCGUGACAUGCCAAGAAUAAUCAGCUAAAAAGUUCAAUUCUACAUGUAAUCAGCAGCUUGGGUACUCUGUGUUUUUCAGUGACUAUGACGAAUGAAAUGGUGAAGGCAAAAUCUACAUUCAGGUCACAGUCUACAAUGUGUGAAUGACUUCACAGUAAAAUGUUACCAUGCCAGAGGCUACACAGUAACACACAAUUUUCCAUUAGUCACAAUAUACAGACGUCAUAAUUUGUAUUUAGACAGUCAACAUUAACUAAAAAAACUGGUUACACCAACAGAACAGUAAGCAUAUAAUGACAGAAGUUUAACCUGUUAAAAUGAAAACAUUUUAUUUUUUGUCGGCACAAGCGCCAUAACAUUUUUGUGCACACUUAGUGAGUGAAUAACUCCCAUCAGUACUCAACAGAAACUGGCUUCAUCAGAGAUCUGUGUAUGUGAUGAGGGAAACCACGGCACAAUAAAUAUACUGUGAGAAACAUGAUGAUCUACUUUUAUCUUAUGUAAUGACAAUUCAUAAAGUCUACCACAAUCAAAAUGCUCAACAUUCACACUGAACUGAUCUGAGAUGGAACAGCAAUACAGCUCUUUUCCACCGAUGCAGCGCUGGUGCUUAAUCUAAAACCUGUUUCAUAUAAUUUCUGCCAAAAAAGACAAAUGCAUUCACAUCGCCACAAAACUAAUGGGCCCAAAGUCAGAACAAUUAGUGGCAAAAAGAAGGACAACCACAAAAAUUUCACAGGUAAUUUAUAGAUGCAGCCCACAGUGGUGCAUCUCUGCGCCAUAACUUUAUGGACAUGGAAAAUACCUCAAAGUCUGCUACAUAAAUGUGAGCUCGUUCUUAAAAAGAAACUAAAGCAGAACUUGCACAGGUACCAGCACCACAUCUGUGGGAGAGAGGUAAUAAAGUGGCUGAUGUGCAUUUGGAUGUGGGCAAGUUGAAACACCAGUGUGUUUGGUGAUUGUCUCACUUCUAUUUGUAUUAAGAGUUAAAAAAAUUUUUUUUUUUUAAAAAGCAGGACAAAACAAAACACAAUUUAAACAACACAGCAACAAACGGUACUGGUGGUAAUUCUGCUUCAGUAUUUCUGCAAAUUAAAUUAUUUGGUUCUGAAUUUUGUCACUUUGAUAGAAAUUUGCUACAGGGUUCUAUUGUACCGUCCAAUGACCAAGUAAAAACAUUAUAUAAAAGCACUGUUAUAAAAUUUAACAAAAACAAACAAAAAGAUUCAAAAUGUCAAAAGUACAUAGGUUUUGCAUAGGUUGAUUUAAGACGUCUUUAUUUUGUUCUGUGGUGCAGAUUUGUUGUUGUUGUA
This is a long non-coding RNA of Oreochromis niloticus (Nile tilapia), 1578 nucleotides long. RefSeq lists it as uncharacterized. Lineage: Eukaryota; Metazoa; Chordata; Actinopteri; Cichliformes; Cichlidae. The transcript is spliced from 2 exons. The record is from RefSeq and is a predicted model, not a curated record.